CCUCUGCAAAGGUAGGGAAAGUUUCGAAGUUAUUUUCCAUUGAAAUUGAAGUAUUUUUUUGUUUGCUUGAAGAGAUUUGCAUAAUACGCUAUGGAACAACCGUAAAAUGUGUCCAAUGCCGUCUGUUGCCCUCGUCCGUAUUGCUCCUGCUUUUGGUGGUUGCUGUGAGUCUUCGGAGGACGGAUCCCAUCCCUUGCCGAUGGCGGCAAUGUCCUGAGCCAGUCCUUGUCCCCGGUGUACGCGUGUGUGUGUGUGUAAUUUCAUUUCGUUUUCGUUUCAGUUUUUUUGCUCUGUUGCUUCCUACUUUUAUUGUUGAACUUUUACAGCUGCCGCUCUUUCGCCUUGCAUUCGCAGCUCCGCUCCUGCUACAUGCCAGGAAGGGUGGUUGCUGGGGUCGUCCGGCGUCUGCCUCACUGCAUUGCCUGCCACUGAAAGUUAAAUUUCCACCACACUCGCAUAUCGUGUGCGUCUGGCUUUUAUCCUUUUUUGGUCUGUCUGGUCGGGCUCCGAGUCUGGCCACCCCCAGGCCCAGAACCAGGAGCGUUAGGGAAAGUGUCUU
RNAcentral lists this long non-coding RNA (559 nucleotides) under Drosophila guanche. Lineage: Eukaryota; Metazoa; Arthropoda; Insecta; Diptera; Drosophilidae. The record is from RNAcentral.